This 77-nucleotide transfer RNA is filed under the name Bdellovibrionales bacterium. RNAcentral's name for it is "tRNA-Arg". It matches the Rfam family "tRNA". From Rfam's summary of the family: Transfer RNA (tRNA) molecules are approximately 80 nucleotides in length. Their secondary structure includes four short double-helical elements and three loops (D, anti-codon, and T loops). The record is from RNAcentral. Lineage: Bacteria; Pseudomonadati; Bdellovibrionota; Bdellovibrionia; Bdellovibrionales.
GCGCCCGUAGCUCAGCUGGAUAGAGUACUUGACUACGAAUCAAGUGGUCGGAGGUUCGACUCCUUCCGGGCGCGCCA